UCCGGUUUAUCACCGGCAGUCUCCUCAGAAGGCCCUAUCUCUAGGGUUGUCAGAGGCAUUCUAGCCCAGGUAAGGUUCUUCGCGUUGCGUCGAAUUAAACCACAUGCUCCACCGCUUGUGCGGGUCCCCGUCAAUUCCUUUGAGUUUCAGUCUUGCGACCGUACUCCCCAGGCGGAAUGCUUAAAGCGUUAGCGACGGCACCCGGGGACUUUAUAACCCCAGACACCAAGCAUUCAUCGUUUAAGGCUAGGACUAC
RNAcentral lists this unclassified non-coding RNA (256 nucleotides) under uncultured Acidobacteriota bacterium. RNAcentral's name for it is "uncultured Acidobacteria bacterium contains 16S-23S intergenic spacer region". Lineage: Bacteria; Pseudomonadati; Acidobacteriota. The record is from RNAcentral.